This is a small nucleolar RNA of Cynoglossus semilaevis (tongue sole), 139 nucleotides long. Ensembl annotates it as small nucleolar RNA SNORA15. NCBI's taxonomy places the organism in Eukaryota, Metazoa, Chordata, Actinopteri, Pleuronectiformes, Cynoglossidae. The record is from Ensembl.
GCAUGGCCGAAUUCUGUAUUACUUUUGAAAUAGUACAUGCAGUCAGACACCGUGCUAGAUUAUUGUUUUCACGCAUUGACUUCAAAAGAAGAAUGAAGUACUUUCUUUGCCUCAUUCGUAUGUCAGUGUGAACACAGAC